This 922-nucleotide ribosomal RNA is filed under the name Bacillus subtilis. RNAcentral describes it as "bacterial SSU rRNA". It matches the Rfam family "Bacterial small subunit ribosomal RNA", at positions 61 to 965 of the family's 1533-position model. The record is from RNAcentral. Lineage: Bacteria; Bacillati; Bacillota; Bacilli; Caryophanales; Bacillaceae.
GUCGAGCGGGCACAUGGGAGCUUGCAACCUGAUGUUAGCGGCGGACGGGUGAGUAACACGUGGGUAACCUGCCUGUAAGACUGGGAUAACUCCGGGAAACCGGGGCUAAUACCGGAUGGUUGUUUGAACCGCAUGGUUCAAACAUAAAAGGUGGCUUCGGCUACCACUUACAGAUGGACCCGCGGCGCAUUAGCUAGUUGGUGAGGUAACGGCUCACCAAGGCAACGAUGCGUAGCCGACCUGAGAGGGUGAUCGGCCACACUGGGACUGAGACACGGCCCAGACUCCUACGGGAGGCAGCAGUAGGGAAUCUUCCGCAAUGGACGAAAGUCUGACGGAGCAACGCCGCGUGAGUGAUGAAGGUUUUCGGAUCGUAAAGCUCUGUUGUUAGGGAAGAACAAGUACCGUUCGAAUAGGGCGGUACCUUGACGGUACCUAACCAGAAAGCCACGGCUAACUACGUGCCAGCAGCCGCGGUAAUACGUAGGUGGCAAGCGUUGUCCGGAAUUAUUGGGCGUAAAGGGCUCGCAGGCGGUUUCUUAAGUCUGAUGUGAAAGCCCCCGGCUCAACCGGGGAGGGUCAUUGGAAACUGGGGAACUUGAGUGCAGAAGAGGAGAGUGGAAUUCCACGUGUAGCGGUGAAAUGCGUAGAGAUGUGGAGGAACACCAGUGGCGAAGGCGACUCUCUGGUCUGUAACUGACGCUGAGGAGCGAAAGCGUGGGGAGCGAACAGGAUUAGAUACCCUGGUAGUCCACGCCGUAAACGAUGAGUGCUAAGUGUUAGGGGGUUUCCGCCCCUUAUUGCUGCAGCUAACGCAUUAAGCACUCCGCCUGGGGAGUACGGUCGCAAGACUGAAACUCAAAGGAAUUGACGGGGGCCCGCACAAGCGUGGAGCAUGUGGUUUAAUUCGAAGCAACGCGAG